CUACGGGAGGCUGCAGUGAGGAAUUUUGCGCAAUGGGGGAAACCCUGACGCAGCAACGCCGCGUGAGCGAAGAAGGCCUUCGGGUCGUAAAGCUCUGUCAAGUGGGAAAAAAAUUCUUUGAUGAACAGUCAAAGGACUUGAUGGUACCACUGGAGGAAGCACCGGCUAACUCCGUGCCAGCAGCCGCGGUAAUACGGAGGGUGCAAGCGUUGUUCGGAAUGACUGGGCGUAAAGAGCGUGUAGGCGGUUUGACAAGUCAGAUGUGAAAGCCCCGGGCUCAACCCGGGAAGUGCAUUUGAAACUGUUUCACUAGAGUAUGGGAGAGGAGAUUGGAAUUCCUGGUGUAGAGGUGAAAUUCGUAGAUAUCAGGAGGAACACCCGUGACGAAGGCGAUUCUCUGGACCAAUACUGACGCUGAGACGCGAAAGCGUGGGGAGCAAACAGGAUUAGAUACCCCGGUAGUC
RNAcentral lists this ribosomal RNA (464 nucleotides) under uncultured bacterium. Its description in RNAcentral is "partial 16S ribosomal RNA". It matches the Rfam family "Bacterial small subunit ribosomal RNA", at positions 339 to 795 of the family's 1533-position model. The record is from RNAcentral.